GUCCAGCUGAUGAGUCCCAAAUAGGACGAAACGUGCGUCCUGGAU
RNAcentral lists this non-coding RNA (45 nucleotides) under Schistosoma mansoni. The record is from RNAcentral. Lineage: Eukaryota; Metazoa; Platyhelminthes; Trematoda; Strigeidida; Schistosomatidae.